Molecule: ribosomal RNA, 311 nt
Filed under: uncultured fungus
Lineage: Eukaryota; Fungi
Description: SSU rRNA
Rfam family: Eukaryotic small subunit ribosomal RNA
Source: RNAcentral
AAAGAUUAAGCCAUGCAUGUCUAAGUAUAAGCAACUUGUACAGUGAACCUGCGAAUGGCUCAUAAAAUCAGUUAUCGUUUAUUUGAUAAUCCCUUACUACAUGGAUACCUGUGGUAAUUCUAGAGCUAAUACAUGCUUCAAGGAGUGGCUUUCGUCACUCUGCACUUAUUAGAUAAAAAACCAAUGCCCCUUUGGGGCUCCUUGGAGAUUCAUAAUAAUUUAGCGGACCGCAUUCCCUCGAGGAGGCGGUGGAUCAUUCAAAUUUCUGCCCUAUCAACUUUCGAUGGUAGGAUAGUGGCCUACCAUGGUUU